This 76-nucleotide small RNA is filed under the name Xanthomonas prunicola. RNAcentral's name for it is "sX9 sRNA". It matches the Rfam family "Xanthomonas sRNA sX9". The record is from RNAcentral. Lineage: Bacteria; Pseudomonadati; Pseudomonadota; Gammaproteobacteria; Lysobacterales; Lysobacteraceae.
AUGGACCACGCGUCACUGCGGUUCUGAGUGCGCUGCCCAUCCCCGCCCAACGACUGUUCGCGACGUGUUGUCAGCC